GGCUUUAUAAUAUAAGGAAUAUAUUGGGUUGCAAAUCUAAAAAUGUGUAAUACACUAAGGCUU
This 63-nucleotide transfer RNA is filed under the name Potamiscus montosus. Its description in RNAcentral is "tRNA-Cys". It matches the Rfam family "tRNA". Rfam says of the family: Transfer RNA (tRNA) molecules are approximately 80 nucleotides in length. Lineage: Eukaryota; Metazoa; Arthropoda; Malacostraca; Decapoda; Potamidae. The record is from RNAcentral.